Molecule: long non-coding RNA, 385 nt
Filed under: Salvia miltiorrhiza (redroot sage)
Lineage: Eukaryota; Viridiplantae; Streptophyta; Magnoliopsida; Lamiales; Lamiaceae
Description: long non-coding RNA (SMIL_LNC007404)
Source: RNAcentral
UUCCUGCUUUCGUUUACCUGCAUACUGUGAGAGUCUGUUUAGGAAAUAGAUAUAGUGAUUUCGUCAUAAUAGUCUCUGUGGAUACGAUACUCUGCUUGCUAUUUCUGUGCUACAAUUACACUGUUUAGUUGCAGUUUUUGUUGCUAUAAAAAUAGUGAUCAGGCCACUGGAAAUACUUUCUACCAUGUAAGUUGUAGUAUUUAUUUUUCUCUUUAUCAAAGUUUGAUUCUUGGGUUAAAUCUAAUAUAUAUAGAGUGCAACUGUUUCCAGGGUUCGAGCUCAUCAAAGAAAGUGAUGUUGUUUCAAAAGUUCAAGAAACCAAGAAUUUCCAAGAACAAAGAAAGUGGGAAUACCUCGACUGCCCAGAAUAGUGUUGUCACUGGAG